Molecule: ribosomal RNA, 254 nt
Filed under: uncultured bacterium
Lineage: Bacteria
Description: partial 16S ribosomal RNA
Rfam family: Bacterial small subunit ribosomal RNA
Source: RNAcentral
UACAGAGGUCCCAAGCGUUGUUCGGAUUCACUGGGCGUAAAGGGCGGGUAGGCGGCCACCGCAAGUCAGUUGUGAAAUCUCCGGGCUUAACCCGGAAAGGUCAACUGAUACUGCGGGGCUAGAGUGCAGAAGGGGCAACUGGAAUUCUCGGUGUAGCGGUGAAAUGCGUAGAUAUCGAGAGGAACACCUGCGGCGAAGGCGGGUUGCUGGGCUGACACUGACGCUGAGACGCGAAAGCGUGGGGAGCGAACAGG